UACGUAGGGUGCAAGCGUUGUCCGGAAUUAUUGAGCGUAAAGAGCUCGUAGGUGGCCUGUCGCGUCGGCUGUGAAAACUCGGGGCUCAACUCCGAGCUUGCAGUCGAUACGGGCAGGCUAGAGUUCGGCAGGGGAGACUGGAAUUCCUGGUGUAGCGGUGAAAUGCGCAGAUAUCAGGAGGAACACCGAUGGCGAAGGCAGGUCUCUGGGCUGACACUGACGCUCAUGCACGAAAGCGUGGGGAGCAAACAGG
RNAcentral lists this ribosomal RNA (253 nucleotides) under uncultured bacterium. RNAcentral's name for it is "partial 16S ribosomal RNA". It matches the Rfam family "Bacterial small subunit ribosomal RNA", at positions 524 to 776 of the family's 1533-position model. The record is from RNAcentral.